This 254-nucleotide ribosomal RNA is filed under the name uncultured bacterium. RNAcentral's name for it is "partial 16S ribosomal RNA". It matches the Rfam family "Bacterial small subunit ribosomal RNA", at positions 524 to 776 of the family's 1533-position model. The record is from RNAcentral.
UACGGGGGGGGCAAGCGUUGUUCGGAAUUACUGGGCGUAAAGGGCUCGUAGGUGGCCAACUAAGUCAGACGUGAAAUCCCUCGGCUUAACCGGGGAACUGCGUCUGAUACUGGAUGGCUUGAGUAUGGGAGAGGAAUGCGGAAUUCCAGGUGUAGCGGUGAAAUGCGUAGAUAUCUGGAGGAACACCGGUGGCGAAGGCGGCAUCCUGGACCGGCAUUGACGCUGAGUGAGCGAAAGCCAGGGGAGCAAACGGG